RNAcentral lists this ribosomal RNA (464 nucleotides) under uncultured bacterium. Its description in RNAcentral is "bacterial SSU rRNA". It matches the Rfam family "Bacterial small subunit ribosomal RNA", at positions 331 to 793 of the family's 1533-position model. The record is from RNAcentral.
CCAGACUCCUACGGGAGGCAGCAGUGAGGAAUAUUGGUCAAUGGACGAGAGUCUGAACCAGCCAAGUAGCGUGAAGGAUGACUGCCCUAUGGGUUGUAAACUUCUUUUAUAAAGGAAUAAAACGAGGCACGUGUGCCUUUUUGCAUGUACUUUAUGAAUAAGGAUCGGCUAACUCCGUGCCAGCAGCCGCGGUAAUACGGAGGAUCCGAGCGUUAUCCGGAUUUAUUGGGUUUAAAGGGUGCGCAGGCGGAGGUGCAAGUCAGCGGUCAAAUUGCGGGGCUCAACCCCGUACUGCCGUUGAAACUGCAUCCCUUGAGUGCGCGAGAAGUAUGCGGAAUGCGUGGUGUAGCGGUGAAAUGCAUAGAUAUCACGCAGAACUCCGAUUGCGAAGGCAGCCUGCCGCAGCGUUACUGACGCUGAAGCUCGAAAGCGCGGGUAUCGAACAGGAUUAGAUACCCUCGUAC